GAUGAACGCUGGCGGCGUGCCUAAUACAUGCAAGUCGAGCGAACAGACGAGGAGCUUGCUCCUCUGACGUUAGCGGCGGACGGGUGAGUAACAUGUGGAUAACCUACCUAUAAGACUGGGAUAACUUCGGGAAACCGGAGCUAAUACCGGAUAAUAUAUUGAACCGCAUGGUUCAAUAGUGAAAGACGGUUUUGCUGUCACUUAUAGCUGGAUCCGCGCCGCAUUAGCUAGUUGGUAAGGUAACGGCUUACCAAGGCAACGAUGCGUAGCCGACCUGAGAGGGUGAUCGGCCACACUGGAACUGAGACACGGUCCAGACUCCUACGGGAGGCAGCAGUAGGGAAUCUUCCGCAAUGGGCGAAAGCUUGACGGAGCAACGCCGCGUGAGUGAUGAAGGUCUUCGGAUCGUAAAACUCUGUUAUUAGGGAAGAACAAAUGUGUAAGUAACUAUGCACGUCUUGACGGUACCUAAUCAGAAAGCCACGGCUAACUACGUG
Molecule: ribosomal RNA, 497 nt
Filed under: uncultured bacterium
Lineage: Bacteria
Description: partial 16S ribosomal RNA
Rfam family: Bacterial small subunit ribosomal RNA
Source: RNAcentral